RNAcentral lists this ribosomal RNA (395 nucleotides) under uncultured bacterium. RNAcentral's name for it is "partial 16S ribosomal RNA". It matches the Rfam family "Bacterial small subunit ribosomal RNA", at positions 338 to 730 of the family's 1533-position model. The record is from RNAcentral.
CCUACGAGUGGCAGCAGUGAGGAAUAUUGGUCCAUGGGCGCGAGCCUGAACCAGCCAAGUAGCGUGAAGGAUGACUGCCCUACGGGUUGUAAACUUCUUUUAUAAAGGAAUAAUGUGAUGCACGUGUGCCUUUUUGUCUGUACUUUAAGAAUAAGGAUCGGCUAACUCCGUGCCAGCAGCCGCGGUAAUUCGGAAGAUGCGAGCGUUAUCCGGAUUUAUUGGGGUUAAAGGGAUCGUAGAUGGGUAGAUCAGUCAGUUGUGAAAGUUUGCGGCUCAAACGUAAGAUUGCAAUUGAUACUGGCAGUCUUGAGUACAGUUGAGGUAGGCGGAAUUCGUGGUGUAGCGGUGAAAUGCUUAGAUAUCACGCAGAACUCCGAUUGCGAAGGCAGCUUACU